Small nuclear RNA from Dipodomys ordii (Ord's kangaroo rat), 100 nucleotides. The record is from Ensembl. Lineage: Eukaryota; Metazoa; Chordata; Mammalia; Rodentia; Heteromyidae.
AUGCUUCGGCAGCACGUUUACAUAAAUUACAACAAUAUAGAGAUUAACAUGCCACUUGGACAAGGAUGAUAUGAAAAUAUGCGAAUUAUUCCAUAUUUUU